RNA transcript from Crotalus tigris (Tiger rattlesnake), 1392 nucleotides. It is a transcript of the gene named COPI coat complex subunit zeta 2, with no coding region annotated. The transcript is spliced from 10 exons. The record is from RefSeq and is a predicted model, not a curated record. NCBI's taxonomy places the organism in Eukaryota, Metazoa, Chordata, Lepidosauria, Squamata, Viperidae.
AUAAAAAAUUGAAAACAAAAACAAAAAUCUCGAAGGGCAGAUUCGAUAGGCCACUGAGUCUUUUUUGCUAUGUUUUUCCAUGUUUCUAUCAAAUCCUAGGCUGCCCUUUUUCCAGAACUUCGCUUUCCCCGCUUCCCGCUUCUCUCUUACGCCGCCUCUUCCCCGCAUGGACAUUUUAGGAGUGGUCUUCAUUAUAUACUUAGGGGCCGGGAAGGCGGGGGGAGCGUUGCAGCCCAAUGCCCGAAUGGGGCGGAGCAGUUCAGUUUGUCUGAACUGAGCUCUGGCGUAGAGCGACCCGAGAUGAGAAAAGCAGAGGCCCGGCCACGUCAGCACGACCACCUCAGCAACGCUGCUAGGGGAUCCGGAGGAGGAGGAGGUGGAGGUGCGGACCGCGCCGGCGGAGUGCCGACUGGAGCCAUGGAAAUCCCCUCUGGUCUGAUAUUGGAACCAUCUCUGUACACCAUUAAAGCAAUUUUCAUCUUGGACAGCUUUGGACAGCGACUUUUGGCCAAGUAUUACGACAACACAUUUUCAUCAACGAAAGAACAGAAGAGCUUUGAGAGAAAUGUCUUCAACAAAACCCAUAAGACAGAGAGUGAGAUUGCUUUCUUAGAAGGCUUAACUAUAGUCUAUAAAAGCAGCAUUGAUCUUUUCUUUUAUGUAGUGGGGAGUUCCCAUGAAAAUGAGUUAAUGCUGAUGUCAGUUCUUUCCUGUCUCUUUGAAUCCCUCAGUCAUAUGCUGCGAAAGAAUGUGGAGAAGCGAAUUCUGAUAGACAACAUGGAUGGGGUAUUCCUUUUAGUGGAUGAAAUUGUUGAUGGAGGUGUGAUCAUGGAAAGUGAUGCCCAACAAGUCAUCCAGAAGCUGAAUUUUAGAACAAAUCCGGAGCCUGCAGCUUAUGGCUUCAUUCUCUUUGAUUAUAUCACCAGUAAUUCGGAUCACAGUGAAAUUAUAUCGGAAAGAUUGUACAAAUAUUGAAACAUCUCCCAAAAUGGGAAGCAGAAGUGGAUGACAGCUCUUUAGCAGAGCACAGUGUCACUCAGGUGCUGCAAUCUGCCAAAGAACAAAUUAAGUGGUCCUUAUUAAAAUAAAAUAUUCUAAAUAUUGUCUUGGAACAUUUUCAGUUUCUUACAUUACUCUGUUUCCCCAAAGAAUGAAAACUUUGCAAUGCUGUGUGAUGGCUACUCAGAUCAGCCCAACUUGCUAUAGGCCAUCUCUUUAAGUUUUUCAAAGUUGAUUACAUCAUAUUAUUUAUCAGAAAUGUGGCCAUAGAUGGAGAUUAUACAUGAACAAGAGGAACAACAAACAAAGUGGAAAUUUGUUUAAGAAUCUGUGAGGGCAAAGGAAAAAUGUAAAAUAAAACUCUACAUUGCUGGAAGAGUAUUCCAAAAUGCA